UACGCUCGGCAUCGGGCUCAGGGACAGACU
Molecule: small RNA, 30 nt
Filed under: Bombyx mori (domestic silkworm)
Lineage: Eukaryota; Metazoa; Arthropoda; Insecta; Lepidoptera; Bombycidae
Description: ovarian small RNA-21109
Source: RNAcentral